Molecule: long non-coding RNA, 1321 nt
Organism: Solea solea (common sole)
Lineage: Eukaryota; Metazoa; Chordata; Actinopteri; Pleuronectiformes; Soleidae
Exons: 5
Source: RefSeq, a predicted model, not a curated record
GCAGCAGCAGCAACAAUGUCAGGUAGAAUUGCUGUGUUACUCUUCACAAGAGGCAGUUUCAGGAGAAAUUCAGUAAAAACAAAAGAACGUGGAAAGAAAUGCAGAUUUGUGUCCUACUCAAAUAAUGAUCCCAUGAUCCAUCAGUCUUAGUUGCUGCCCCAGUUUGGCAAUCGCUGCACUUAAUGUGAGAAUAAGUGACAUUUGGAGUGACAGGCUCAUUAGGGCUUCAUUACAAGGCUGCUUGGACAGGAGGAGGAGACAGGCCCAGCAGAUGAGCUAUAAAACAGGACUGGCUGGCUCCACGACCCCAGCAGGCUCAGGGUUUCUGCACACACUGACCUGGAGGAGAAAGCACACCUGCACAGGUUGGGUGAGGUUUGCCAUGAAAUGCAGAGGAGGAUUCAUCACAGUCAGCCCAGGAGUGCUCUUCAUGUGGUUGGUCAAAUCACUACUUCCCACAACUGGAUACGCUCAAGGAAGCAAAUUCAAGACAGACGACAGAAUAGAAACGUAUCAGGCGACUCAAGCUGACAUCUGAAACCCACGGCAGCCGCGUCACUGGGAACUACUAGGAUCUCUGCACUGGCUUGCCAAAACCACAGAGUUUAAACAACUCUGAAGAUGACAAGACAAGGAGAACGAAGGGAAGGGCAGCUACAUAUCACUGUGCCAGGGAGACGGCCAGCUACAAACAGGUGUUUCUCCUCAUGCAUAUGAGAUCAUGGCCUGCGAGAGACAGACUUCACUGCGUUGACUCGCAAACAUGGUGUCUCAUCAUCCUUCAUCCCUGGCUUCCUCCAUCUGGACUUCUAUGUUACCCAUCUUCUAUCCAUUACACUGUCAUUUAUCAAUAAUAACACUUAACAAUGUUGGUCUUUGUGAAACAAUCCAAGCACGACGAUCUUCACUGCACACACACACGAGCACUGACUCGAUCACUGUCAUCAGAUCCGUCAACCAAGUUAUUUUCAUGUUAGUCACAGAGCCUUUAUUACCUCUCCUGCCCUCCCUCAACCUCACUGCCUCACUCUGACAAGCUCUGAUUGUCCCUUAAUAUUUGGGUGUCUUUAGGUGACUCUGGCGCUAAAUUGUUUACCCUGCGCUACUGAGAGGGGAGCUUUCAGCCACCCAGUCAGGUGCUUAUCUGAUGUAAUGGACCAUUGAUCACCUUUUACCCUCCAAUGAAUUAACUCUCUGUUAGUUCAAUAGAGAGCCCAGAACUACCCGAAUAUAUUGUUCCUCCAGGAUCACCAGACCUCCACUUACUGGUUGUCUCCCGUUUCAGACAGCAUCUGUACAUAAUGCAAGGAGGAUCGGGUUC